This 258-nucleotide unclassified non-coding RNA is filed under the name uncultured fungus. RNAcentral's name for it is "partial contains 18S rRNA, ITS1, 5.8S rRNA". Lineage: Eukaryota; Fungi. The record is from RNAcentral.
GCAGAAGGAUCAUUAGUGAAGAUUUGGGCAGGCCAUACGGACGCCAAAAAGUGUCCCUGGCCGCCUACACCCACUAUACAUCCACAAACCCGUGUGCACUGUCUUGGAGAAAGGCUUUAGAGAAGUUUUUUGUGGCCUCUCUUGGGGUCUUUCUUCGCUACAAACUCGAAUGGUUAGUAUGAACGUGGAACUUGGUUGGACCGUCACUGGCCAACAAACUAUACACAACUUUCGACAACGGAUCUCUUGGUUCUCCCA